UACGAACUGUGCAAACGUUAUUCGGAAUCACUGGGCUUAAAGGGUGCGCAGGCGGUCUGCUAAGCAGGGUGUGAAAGCCCCCGGCUCAACCGGGGAAUUGCGCCCUGAACUGGCAGGCUUGAGUGAGAUAGAGGUGUGGGGAACCUCCGGUGGAGCGGUGAAAUGUGUUGAUAUCGGAAGGAACGCCAGAGGCGAAAGCGCCACACUGGGUCUCAACUGACGCUGAGGCACGAAAGCCAGGGGAGCAAACGGG
Molecule: ribosomal RNA, 253 nt
Filed under: uncultured bacterium
Lineage: Bacteria
Description: partial 16S ribosomal RNA
Rfam family: Bacterial small subunit ribosomal RNA
Source: RNAcentral